This 252-nucleotide ribosomal RNA is filed under the name uncultured bacterium. RNAcentral's name for it is "partial 16S ribosomal RNA". It matches the Rfam family "Bacterial small subunit ribosomal RNA", at positions 524 to 776 of the family's 1533-position model. The record is from RNAcentral.
UACGGAGGAGCUAGCGUUGUUCGGAAUUACUGGGCGUAAAGCGCACGUAGGCGGCUUUGUAAGUUAGAGGUGAAAGCCCGGGGCUCAACUCCGGAACUGCCUUUAAGACUGCAUCGCUUGAAUCCAGGAGAGGUGAGUGGAAUUCCGAGUGUAGAGGUGAAAUUCGUAGAUAUUCGGAAGAACACCAGUGGCGAAGGCGGCUCACUGGACUGGUAUUGACGCUGAGGUGCGAAAGCGUGGGGAGCAAACAGG